Molecule: small nucleolar RNA, 76 nt
Organism: Jaculus jaculus (lesser Egyptian jerboa)
Lineage: Eukaryota; Metazoa; Chordata; Mammalia; Rodentia; Dipodidae
Source: Ensembl
GUGCAAUGAUGCGCGAAUUUCUUCACCUGAACUCACCAUGAAGAGUAAAAAUCGAGCUUUUUAACACUGAGUCACA